AGGAGGUGGUGAUAUUAUUCUCUGUUUUGGAAAACUUAGGUUUCUUUUCAGCACAUUCUCUUGGUGUCAUUUGAGGAGUCUGGGCGUCCGUUUCAAUUCACAUGAAAUAUCGAGGUUUGCACGGUAACAGAGAGACUUUCUCCUUGCAGGUGAUGUCAAAGUCAAUAAUCAGUUCCCAAUAUCAUUGGAAAGUACAACCAGGGGUGUCUAGUGCUGUGGAGUCAACACAACUGGGCUGAACUCAUGGAAACUUUUGGUUCCAAAUAGAGGAAGUCAUAGCAACAACAGCGAUUCAUCUUCCGGCUUUCAUCAGCUCCUCAUGGCCUCGCUGUCAUCGUCAUCUGAGCUAAAAACAAUCCAACCAAGGGAAAGGCAUCUCCUCUCCUGCCAUUCCACUCUCCUCUCCACCACCGAUGGCACAUUCUCUGUAGUUUUUGUUCCUGCCUCCAUUUUGGUGAGUUGUCAUGAAGAAAUAAAGGUAUGUGGUGGUGGGUGGCUUUCCCCCAAGUGUUCAUCUCUUGCAUUUCCAAAUAGGCCCAUUGGGCUACUUUGUGUGCUUCAAGCUAAAAUGGGCUUGUUUCUAAAAAUAGACCUCUGUUCCUGCUGUGCCAUCUGCACCAUCCCUUUGUAUAAACCAAAA
RNAcentral lists this long non-coding RNA (640 nucleotides) under Mus spicilegus (steppe mouse). RNAcentral describes it as "lncRNA (ENSMSIG00000017292.1)". Lineage: Eukaryota; Metazoa; Chordata; Mammalia; Rodentia; Muridae. The record is from RNAcentral.